AAUGAACGCUGGCGGCAUGCCUAACACAUGCAAGUCGAACGAAGGCUUCGGCCUUAGUGGCGCACGGGUGCGUAACGCGUGGGAAUCUGCCCCUGGGUUCGGAAUAACAGUUAGAAAUGACUGCUAAUACCGGAUGAUGACGUAAGUCCAAAGAUUUAUCGCCGAGGGAUGAGCCCGCGUAGGAUUAGCUCGUUGGUGUGGUAAGAGCGCACCAAGGCGACGAUCCUUAGCUGGUCUGAGAGGAUGAUCAGCCACACUGGGACUGAGACACGGCCCAGACUCCUACGGGAGGCAGCAGUGGGGAAUAUUGGAAAAUGGGCGAAAGCCUGAUCCAGCUCUGCCGCGUGAGUGAUGAAGGCCUUAGGGUUGUAAAGCUCUUUUACCCGGGAUGAUAAUGACAGUACCGGGAGAAUAAGCUCCGGCUAACUCCGUG
This 433-nucleotide ribosomal RNA is filed under the name uncultured bacterium. Its description in RNAcentral is "partial 16S ribosomal RNA". It matches the Rfam family "Bacterial small subunit ribosomal RNA", at positions 29 to 507 of the family's 1533-position model. The record is from RNAcentral.